GAUGAACGCUGGCGGCGUGCCUAAUACAUGCAAGUCGAGCGAACAGAUGAGGAGCUUGCUCCUCUGACGUUAGCGGCGGACGGGUGAGUAACACGUGGAUAACCUACCUAUAAGACUGGGAUAACUUCGGGAAACCGGAGCUAAUACCGGAUAAUAUAUUGAACCGCAUGGUUCAAUAGUGAAAGACGGUUUUGCUGUCACUUAUAGAUGGAUCCGCGCCGCAUUAGCUAGUUGGUAAGGUAACGGCUUACCAAGGCAACGAUGCGUAACCGACCUGAGAGGGUGAUCGGCCACACUGGAACUGAGACACGGUCCAGACUCCUACGGGAGGCAGCAGUAGGGAAUCUUCCGCAAUGGGCGAAAGCCUGACGGAGCAACGCCGCGUGAGUGAUGAAGGUCUUCGGAUCGUAAAACUCUGUUAUUAGGGAAGAACAAAUGUGUAAGUAACUAUGCACGUCUUGACGGUACCUAAUCAGAAAGCCACGGCUAACUACGUG
Molecule: ribosomal RNA, 497 nt
Filed under: uncultured bacterium
Lineage: Bacteria
Description: partial 16S ribosomal RNA
Rfam family: Bacterial small subunit ribosomal RNA
Source: RNAcentral